This 60-nucleotide transfer RNA is filed under the name bovine gut metagenome. It matches the Rfam family "tRNA", at positions 7 to 64 of the family's 71-position model. From Rfam's summary of the family: Transfer RNA (tRNA) molecules are approximately 80 nucleotides in length. Their secondary structure includes four short double-helical elements and three loops (D, anti-codon, and T loops). Further hydrogen bonds mediate the characteristic L-shaped molecular structure. tRNAs have two regions of fundamental functional importance: the anti-codon, which is responsible for specific mRNA codon recognition, and the 3' end, to which the tRNAs corresponding amino acid is attached (by aminoacyl-tRNA synthetases). tRNAs cope with the degeneracy of the genetic code in two manners: having more than one tRNA (with a specific anti-codon) for a particular amino acid; and 'wobble' base-pairing, i.e. permitting non-standard base-pairing at the 3rd anti-codon position. The record is from RNAcentral.
GGUGGCGCAGUGGUAGCGCAGUGGACUGUUAAUCCAUGUGUCGCUGGUUCGAAUCCAGCC